RNAcentral lists this ribosomal RNA (252 nucleotides) under uncultured prokaryote. Its description in RNAcentral is "partial 16S rRNA". It matches the Rfam family "Archaeal small subunit ribosomal RNA", at positions 475 to 726 of the family's 1478-position model. The record is from RNAcentral.
ACCGGCGGCUCGAGUGGUAACCGCUAUUAUUGGGUUUAAAGGGUUUGUAGCUGGCUGGAUAAGUCUCUUGGGAAAUCUUGCGGCUCAACCGGAAGGCGUCUCAGGGAUACUGGCAGGCUAGGGACCGGAAGAGGUGAGAGGUACUCCAGGGGUAGGAGUGAAAUCCUGUAAUCCUUGAGGGACCACCUGUGGCGAAGGCGUCUCACCAGGACGGCUCCGACAGUGAGGAACGAAAGCUGGGGGAGCAAACCG